CCUACGGGGGGCAGCAGGCGCGGAAACUUUACAAUGCAGGUAACUGUGAUAAGGGAACCCCGAGUGCCCGUAUGGACGGGCUGUUCAGGUGUGUAAAGAACACCUGGAGAAAGGGCCGGGCAAGACCGGUGCCAGCCGCCGCGGUAAUACCGGCGGCUCGAGUGGUGGCCACUAUUACUGGGCUUAAAGCGUCCGUAGCUGGGUAGUUAAGUCUCUUGGGAAAUCUUCCGGCUCAACCGGAAGGCGUCUAAGGGAUACUGGCUACCUAGGGAUCGGGAGAGGUGAGAGGUACUCUGGGGGUAGGAGUGAAAUCCUGUAAUCCUUAGGGGACCACCUGUGGCGAAGGCGUCUCACCAGAACGACUCCGACAGUGAGGGACGAAAGCUGGGGGAGCAAACCGGAUUAGAUACCCCGGUAGUCC
This 421-nucleotide ribosomal RNA is filed under the name uncultured Methanofollis sp. RNAcentral's name for it is "bacterial SSU rRNA". It matches the Rfam family "Archaeal small subunit ribosomal RNA", at positions 322 to 747 of the family's 1478-position model. The record is from RNAcentral. Lineage: Archaea; Methanobacteriati; Methanobacteriota; Methanomicrobia; Methanomicrobiales; Methanomicrobiaceae.